AAAAGUAAUUAUUUUUAUUUCAACUCUAUAAAGUAUACAACAGGCACUCGGCAAUUACAGCUGCAGGGAAAAUACAGAGCAAAACAAAAGCGGUUAAAGUUUAUGAAAAAAAGUUCUUAAAUCUACAUCAAAAGAAUACCACCGGCCAGUGACCGGUGGAUGACUGACAUUUGUCUGACAAACAAAACCUCUUUUAUGUAGGAAGAAAACUGGAAAAAAUAAGAAUCUAAAACAAAUGGCUAGUGUAAAAACAGCGUAAACUGGGACUUGGGACAAUGGGCAACUCCAAACAAAAAUUUCUCCUUUUGCCAGUAAGGCUCUAAAACUGCCCAAGUCUCAGUGUUACGGCUGGUUUACACAGCCAGGGAGCUGUGGAGGACAAGGAGCUUCCAGCUUCCCAGCUCAGCUUUGUGGGAGCGCCGAGGGCUCGCCUCCGCAGUAGUUUGCAUAUAGAAGGAGUCAGGGGAAAAGCACAGAUCCUGUUUUGUUGAGUGGUGCAAACCAGCUACGCCUUUGAGUCAGGCUUCCAGGUCAAAACACGCAGGUCAGGUUGCACACCGAGUUGCUCAUAAUUUUUUGUGUGUGGGAGAUUUCUAAAGGGGUUUGUAUAAGACAGGAGGUUGGCGCUGGACAGCACGAUGGGUUGAAUCUGCACACCUUAGCAAAACAGGAAUACCUGUCUACGGACUGAUAGGAUGUCAUAUAUUAAUUUGACCUGCACAUAACAUUUAUACAUUUCACAGAAAUGACUCUGUAUCUCAUUAACAGAUACACAGCUCUGGUACAUUGAACAGAAAUAAGAGAACAACUUCAUCAUUUCUGUAAUUCAUCAAUAUUAUAUAAUAAAGGCUUAGAAAUUGGUAGCAGAAAGAACUGUAAAACGCAGCAAGCUAAGAAAGGACGACAUUUUGAGGUGUGUUUGUCUUUGUCAUGCAGCAUAACACCAAAUUUGUAAUCUUUUUUUAUAGGAUGCCAUGGAUUUAAGGCACUUGCAACAAUGCCAGAUAGCUAGUUAUGUUCUAAAACUAUGGGACAGGUGAGUUAACAAUACAGUUGACAUAAAGUUUAAUAAUACUGACAGUUAUGACAUUAAUUCAAGUCUACCUUGAUCUAAAAACAUUACAUUACAAAUAAGAGAAUGAAGUAAUAAUGCCAUGGAACUCUAAAAGAAAAAGUUAUAUGUGUACCACAAAAUAUCAACACGAAAAUACCUAUUUACAUAAAUAUUUGCUUGUGGUCCUGUUGUUAAAUAAGAGUUUGCUAUGGAUAAUGCAGCUAUAGAUCAUCUGUGUCUUAAUGACACCAACCUUAAUAUACUCAUUUUAAAUAUGGGAGCUGCUUUCCCCUUAUGUAGAUAUGCCAUUGUCCCAUAUAUUAAAAGAAGAAAGGACAGUAAAGUGGAAACACAGAAGCAAUCCAUUGUUGUGAAUAUAUAUAUAUAAAAAAUGCAACUCAAAUAUAUUACUUAUAAACGAAGGUGGUUAUCAUAUACAUAUGCUAAGUAUGUUGUUUAAAGUAUGCUUAGGAAAGGUGAUGAAAGUCAAGUGAGGUGUUUGAUGUCAAAAUAAACUUAUAUUCCAUAUAGUGCAUGCUGCACGCUGCAGGUAUUAAUUACCGUGCUUGGCACAAGGAAGAAGAGACAGGAGAAAGAAAAGUAACUCAUCAGCCCAUUUUAAAACCUUCUUCCUGUAACAUUUUCAGGUUGGCCCCCAAACUCAUAGUGAUGCUUUUCCUCCCGGCAACCCCUUGACUGACAACUGCAUCUCAGCUACUGAAUAUC
This 1780-nucleotide long non-coding RNA is filed under the name Strigops habroptila (Kakapo). RNAcentral describes it as "lncRNA (ENSSHBG00005019570.1)". Lineage: Eukaryota; Metazoa; Chordata; Aves; Psittaciformes; Psittacidae. The record is from RNAcentral.